RNAcentral lists this ribosomal RNA (706 nucleotides) under Exophiala equina. RNAcentral's name for it is "partial large subunit ribosomal RNA". It matches the Rfam family "Eukaryotic large subunit ribosomal RNA", at positions 76 to 796 of the family's 3401-position model. Lineage: Eukaryota; Fungi; Ascomycota; Eurotiomycetes; Chaetothyriales; Herpotrichiellaceae. The record is from RNAcentral.
UGCCUCAGUAACGGCGAGUGAAGCGGCAACAGCUCAAAUUUGAAAUCUGGCCUCUUUGGGGUCCGAGUUGUAAUUUGUAGAGGAUGUUUCGGGUACCGCCUCGGUUUAAAUUUCUUGGAACAGAAUGUCAAAGAGGGUGAGAAUCCCGUCUUGGACCGGCGGUAGGGCCCAUGUGAAACUCCUUCGACGAGUCGAGUUGUUUGGGAAUGCAGCUCAAAAUGGGUGGUAAAUUUCAUCUAAAGCUAAAUAUUGGCCAGAGACCGAUAGCGCACAAGUAGAGUGAUCGAAAGAUGAAAAGCACUUUGAAAAGAGAGUUAAACAGUAUGUGAAAUUGUUGAAAGGGAAGCGCUUACAACCAGACUUGCGCGCGGCGGUUCCCCCUUCCUUUUGGUUGGGCUACUCCGUCGUGUCCAGGCCAACAUCGGUUCUGGGGGUCGGUUAAAGACCCUGGGAAUGUAUCUACCCUUCGGGCGUAGACUUAUAGCUCAGGGUGUCAUGCGACCUCCCGGGACCGAGGAACGCGCUUCGGCUCGGAUGUUGGCGUAAUGGUUGUCAGCGACCCGUCUUGAAACACGGACCAAGGAGUCUAACAUCUAUGCGAGUGUUUGGGUGUCAAACCCGGAACGCGAAAUGAAAGUGAACGGAGGUAGGAAGCCAUGAGGCUGCACUAUCUACCGAUCCUGAUGUCUUCGGAUGGAUUUGAGUA